GGCCUCCUCUUCCUGGAAGCCCUCCCCAUGUCCUGGGACCUGGUGAGGGGUCUCCCUGGCUCUCCCACAGACCCUGUACUGAGGCCCAGCAAGGCACGGGUGGUCCACAGGGAUGCAAUGUGGGACCCCCUUCUGUAAACAGGGGUUGACCUACCAUUCAGGGCACAAGUCCCAGGGACCCUGAAGGCCUGCUGCCUCCGGAGAGAGCCCCCCAGGGCUGCAGGCGGGGGAUAAGCCAGGCUAUUUUCAUCAUUUCCUUCCUCCCACUCGAGCGGCGGCCACCAUCGGCGUCCACCUCAGUCUCGCCCAGGACAGUUCAGGCCACAGAAAGGGGUGCCAGCUGCAGGCCUCACAAGUAAGUGGCCCUCCUUAUUACCCAGCACCACCGCCCACAGCCACCCCCACCCAGGUGGGACGGUGGGACGGGGCCUAGCAGGGAAAGGAGGCCAGCCACCCGGCCCGCCUCUGUCCCCCCUUCAGCUUUCCCCUCCAGAAGACGGGGUUGGGUGGGGGCACUGGCUCUGAGACACUGGCUCCUUGGUUGAUUCAUCUAAUAUUCACUGCCUGCCGUGGGCCAGGCCCUGGUGGGGAGAGCCUGUCUUGGGAAGGGGAAGCAAUCGUGGGAAAGUCGGCGAACCAGGCAAGAGCCUGGAGCUCAUGAGGCCUCAUGAGGAAUUGGAGUCCCUUCUCGGACGCAGACCACAGGGUGACCCUGCAUGAAUCACUUUCUGUCUCUGGGCCUCGAUUUCCCCAACUCUGAGCGCUAACCUAGAUGUGUGGCUUUCCAGAGGGAACCCCUUCUGGGGCUCCCUCCCGGUCCCCACCUCAGCAUCCUCAUUCUGCUGUUUUCUACAUCGGGUAGCACGUAAGAGUUCACCGGGCCACAGCUACACUCACCUUCCGGCCUUCUGAGUGUCCCGGGAGGCUCAGCUAGGCCUGGGUUGGGCGCCGUCACUUCCUGCAGUCUUCACCACCCCAUUUCACGGAGGAGAAGGCUGAGGCCUGAGAAAGGAGCCAGCCUGCCAAUGCCUGCCUGGGGGGCCCUGUUGCUGCUCUGGGAUGCCGCAGAGGCCGUCAAGGACUGCCCCGCGGAGUGCACCUGCCAGGCCCUGGAAACCAUGGGGCUGUGGGUGGACUGCCGGGGGCGGGGGCUCACGGCCC
Molecule: long non-coding RNA, 1161 nt
Filed under: Ursus maritimus (polar bear)
Lineage: Eukaryota; Metazoa; Chordata; Mammalia; Carnivora; Ursidae
Description: lncRNA (ENSUMAG00000015140.1)
Source: RNAcentral